Regulatory RNA element from Helcococcus kunzii ATCC 51366, 123 nucleotides. It matches the Rfam family "Ribosomal protein L10 leader". From Rfam's summary of the family: This family is a putative r-protein leader autoregulatory structure found in B. subtilis and other low-GC Gram-positive bacteria. NCBI's taxonomy places the organism in Bacteria, Bacillati, Bacillota, Tissierellia, Tissierellales, Peptoniphilaceae. The record is from Rfam.
AGUAAAUUAAAUAGGCUACCAAAGACUAUAGGUGGAUUUUCCUUAAUUUCCUAUAUAGGAGCAAUAAUUAGAUUAUUAACUCUCCUUAUGUCUUUUUACAUAUGGAGAUUUUUUUAAUAUAUU